CGGGGUGAGUAAUGCUUGGGAAUCUAGCUUAUGGAGGGGGAUAACUACGGGAAACUGUAGCUAAUACCGCGUAAUAUCGAAAGAUUAAAGUGUGGGACCUUCGGGCCACAUGCCAUAAGAUGAGCCCAAGUGGGAUUAGGUAGUUGGUGAGGUAAAGGCUCAUCAAGCCGACGAUCUCUAGCUGGUCUGAGAGGAUGACCAGCCACACUGGGACUGAGACACGGCCCAG
RNAcentral lists this ribosomal RNA (229 nucleotides) under uncultured bacterium. RNAcentral's name for it is "partial 16S ribosomal RNA". It matches the Rfam family "Bacterial small subunit ribosomal RNA", at positions 104 to 334 of the family's 1533-position model. The record is from RNAcentral.